Molecule: unclassified non-coding RNA, 180 nt
Filed under: Chytridiomycota sp.
Lineage: Eukaryota; Fungi; Chytridiomycota
Description: partial contains small subunit ribosomal RNA, internal transcribed spacer 1, and 5.8S ribosomal RNA
Rfam family: Eukaryotic small subunit ribosomal RNA (bases 1-47)
Source: RNAcentral
AAAGUCGUAACAAGGUUUCCGUAGGUGAACCUGCGGAAGGAUCAUUAAUAAAUGCUUCAUUGCAUCCACCUUUUGUGCACUGUAAAUUUUUCACUUGAAUUUUGUCUGAUUAAUCUUUGUUCUGAAUGGAACAUGAAUUAUAAUCUAAUACAACUUUUAACAAUGGAUCUCUUGGUUCUG